RNAcentral lists this ribosomal RNA (238 nucleotides) under uncultured bacterium. RNAcentral's name for it is "partial 16S ribosomal RNA". It matches the Rfam family "Bacterial small subunit ribosomal RNA", at positions 96 to 334 of the family's 1533-position model. The record is from RNAcentral.
CGGCGGACGGGUGAGUAACGCGUGGGUAACCUACCCUGUACACACGGAUAACAUACCGAAAGGUAUGCUAAUACGGGAUAAUAUAUUUAAGAGGCAUCUCUUGAAUAUCAAAGGUGAGCCAGUACAGGAUGGACCCGCGUCUGAUUAGCUAGUUGGUAAGGUAACGGCUUACCAAGGCGACGAUCAGUAGCCGACCUGAGAGGGUGAUCGGCCACAUUGGAACUGAGACACGGUCCAA